ACGUACUUCUUUAUAUGCCCAUAUGAGAGCUCGCUGCUAUGGAAUGUAAAGAAGUAUGUAU
This 61-nucleotide microRNA precursor is filed under the name Petromyzon marinus (sea lamprey). RNAcentral describes it as "Pma-Mir-1-o3_pre stem-loop". It matches the Rfam family "mir-1 microRNA precursor family", at positions 10 to 70 of the family's 79-position model. From Rfam's summary of the family: This family represents the microRNA (miRNA) mir-1 family. miRNAs are transcribed as ~70nt precursors (modelled here) and subsequently processed by the Dicer enzyme to give a ~22nt product. In this case the mature sequence comes from the 3' arm of the precursor. The record is from RNAcentral. Lineage: Eukaryota; Metazoa; Chordata; Hyperoartia; Petromyzontiformes; Petromyzontidae.